GGUAAGCAAGAAGAAACUACUUGGAUCUCCCCAAUGCAGAUUCGCUAGUUUCUCGACCCAUUGGUAUACGUGAGGACUUGGUUUCCUAUGCAGGAAAUGAUUUCUCCCUCCAUAAUAAAUCUACUGCCACAUGAGCAAAUUGCUUAGUUGGUAUGAUAAUUAAGAGGAAUAGAAACUAUCAUCAAUAUUUCAUUGGAACUGCCCUUGUAAAUCACAGUUAAAUCGUCUUCGUGGCAUCGUUCCCGCUUCCGGCACCAUGAGUCGUA
RNAcentral lists this long non-coding RNA (266 nucleotides) under Setaria viridis. RNAcentral describes it as "long non-coding RNA (SVIR_LNC007235)". The record is from RNAcentral. Lineage: Eukaryota; Viridiplantae; Streptophyta; Magnoliopsida; Poales; Poaceae.